Long non-coding RNA from Papaver somniferum (opium poppy), 1875 nucleotides. RefSeq lists it as uncharacterized. The transcript has 3 exons. The record is from RefSeq and is a predicted model, not a curated record. NCBI's taxonomy places the organism in Eukaryota, Viridiplantae, Streptophyta, Magnoliopsida, Ranunculales, Papaveraceae.
UUCACUUUUCCUCUUUCUCUUUCUCCUCCUUCUUGUUUCUUCCUUCUUUCCCCUAUUCUUCGCGGCUGCUGAUUCUGAGAGAGGUGUGAGAAUUGAUUUAAGAGAGUUCAGCGAUGAAGAUGUUCUGAUGAUGUAGUUCUUGGUGGUGAAGAUAUUUGUGUGAUUGAAUUAGGUUCAUAAUAAGUGAUGUUCAUAGAGAUUUAGUGAGUUAGGGUUUCUGGAUUUGAAGCUAGAUUUGCAUGGAGCUGAUAAUGAUGAUUUCUAGUUGUUAAUGGAUGAAGAUCGAAUGGGUUGAUGUUGUGUUUGUGAAUUGAAGCUGUUAUGAAGAUGAAUCGAAGAAUGAAAGAGUUAGGGUUUCAUAAAGGAAAUUCAGGGAAGGUUCAAAAGAUGAAAUUAAUGUUGUAGAGGAUUGUUUUGGAUAUGGGAUUGAUACGAAUUAGAAUAUACAGAUAAUAAGUGGUUUGAAUUUUAUAAUUAGGGAUUGGCUUUGUUUGAUGAAGGUUUGGGAAUUUAAUUAGGUUUUGGUUGAGAACUAGUUUUGCUGAUGAAAGCUAGGGAUCGAUUAUGUCAAUAAGAAUAUGUUGGAGCUAUUAUUGGUGUUGAUUCAGAUGUUGAAUCAAACUCUGGAAGUAUGGGAAAGUUGUAAAUGAGAGUUCUAGAAUUACAGUUGCAGAUUGGUGAUAUUGGGGUUUGAAUUAUGAUGAUGGUUUCUGGGUAGUCUUGAGAUGUGUUGGUGAACCAGAAACCAAAGUGAGAAAAGGAAUUAAAACUCAGUUGCUUGAGUAGCACAGAUUGGAGGUAAUUCUCAUUUUAAGAUAACUUUGUAAAGCUGUACUUUCUGAUUGUAGUAUGUAUGACUCUAAUGACUGAGAUUGAAAUGCUUAAUUGAAUCUGUAAUGGAAUUGCAGUUGUUGGUUAGGUUUAAAUGAUGAAUUACAGUUGAGGAAUAUAUGUUUGAACUGUAGAAGUUGUUGGUGUGGAUGCGGAUUGUUUUGGUGUUGAGCUAAGUUGAGCUGUUAGUGGUAUUGGUGUUGUCUGUGAUGUUGAAGAUGCAGGGGACAUUAGUGAAUGAUAAAGGUGCGGAGUUAUUGAGGUGUGUGUGUAGAACUGGAGUUAUAGAUGGAAGCAAUAAUGAAUCCUUGAUUGAACUGUUGUAUGGAAUUGAGAUAGAGAUAGAGUAGAUGGUUAUAGUUUUGAAGAUGAAAUUUAGGGUGUGAAUGAAGUUGUAAUGAUUGCGGUGAAUGGGUGUUAUCUGAAAUUGAGAUUAAGGUAAGAGAUAUUUGUUGCUAGUUGAGCAGAUUUAGAAUGGAUGAAUGUUUGUAGAUGCAGACUGACAAUGUUGUCUGAGUUGAAUCUUAAAUGUACAAUUAAAGGAUUUGUGAACUAGGAUAUGUAAAGUGAUUUGGGAGAAAGAGAGUUGUUGUCAUGUUGCUUAGAAGUGACCUUAAUGGAAGCCUUCUACUGCAGAUCAAGUUAGUCUAUAUUAACAACGGUCGAUUCAAAGGAUGAACCAGUGGAUCGUGGAUCUCGAUGUAGGCGUGGAUUGUCAUCAAAAGAGGUGUCUUUUCUCUCUUCAGAUAUAAAAUGUCGAUCUUUAAGAUGUUUAACAAGAGAACUACUAGCGUAUCAACGGCCUCCGACACCAUUCCGACAACCAUAAAAACUCCUAAAAGGGCAAUCAAAGAAGGAAACAACAUGGGUAUUAGGUGGGUGAAGACUAGAUGAAAAGGGACUUGUAUACAUUGUAGGGGUUGCAGAAAACCCAGUUGUCUGAGAAGGAGCUGAAAUAUGAGAAGAAGAGGCCGACGAAAAAGUUGUAGCCAUGGUUUCUGUGAAAACGGAAACUAAUAUUUCUGUGAAAUUUGACUACCCAAA